GACGAACGCUGGCGGCGUGCUUAACACAUGCAAGUCGAACGGAAAGGCCCUGCUAUUGUGGGGUGCUCGAGGGGCGAACGGGUGAGUAACACGUGAGUAACCUGCCCUUGACUUUGGGAUAACUUCAGGAAACUGGGGCUAAUACCGGAUAGGAGCUCCUGCUGCAUGGUGGGGGUUGGAAAUUUUCGGCUGUUGUGGUUGGAUUCGCGGCUUAUGAGCUUGUUGGUGGGGGAGUGGCUUACCAAGGGUUUGACGGGUAGCCGGCCCGGGAGGGUGGCCGGCGACCAUGCUCCUGCGAUACGCAGCAGUCGCCUACGGUGGACAGCGGUGGGAAAUCUUACCCAACCGGCGCGCGUCUGAUGAAGCGGCCUUCCGUGCGUAAUGACGGCCUGCUGGUUGUGAACCGCUUUCGCCUAUGACGAAGCGUUACUGACGGUACUGGAUAAAGAAGCACCGGCUAACUACGUG
RNAcentral lists this ribosomal RNA (468 nucleotides) under uncultured bacterium. Its description in RNAcentral is "partial 16S ribosomal RNA". It matches the Rfam family "Bacterial small subunit ribosomal RNA", at positions 28 to 507 of the family's 1533-position model. The record is from RNAcentral.